AAGGAGUCUAACAUAUCUGCGAGUAUUUGGGUGUCACACCCGAGUGGGCAAAGAAAGUGAACCUAGGAGCUACGCGCUAGCUGCAGUUUCGACCGACCUGGAUCUUUGGUGAUGGAUUUGAGUAAGAGCAUAUAUGUUGGGACCCGAAAGAUGGUGAACUAUGCCUGAAUAGGGUGAAGCCAGAGGAAACUCAGGUGGAGGCUCGUAGCGAUUCUGACGUGCAAAUCGAUCGUCAAAGUUGGGUAUAGGGGCGAAAGACUAAUCGAACCAUCUAGUAGCUGGUUCCUGC
RNAcentral lists this unclassified non-coding RNA (289 nucleotides) under uncultured fungus. RNAcentral describes it as "partial contains 5.8S rRNA, ITS2 and 28S rRNA". It matches the Rfam family "Eukaryotic large subunit ribosomal RNA", at positions 668 to 961 of the family's 3401-position model. Lineage: Eukaryota; Fungi. The record is from RNAcentral.